This 451-nucleotide ribosomal RNA is filed under the name uncultured bacterium. RNAcentral's name for it is "partial 16S ribosomal RNA". It matches the Rfam family "Bacterial small subunit ribosomal RNA", at positions 28 to 507 of the family's 1533-position model. The record is from RNAcentral.
AGCGAACGCUGGCGGCAUGCCUAACACAUGCAAGUCGCACGGGGGGGCUUCGGCCUCCCAGUGGCGGACGGGUGAGGAACGCGUAGGGACCUGUCGAGGGGUGGGGGAUAACCGCGGGAAACUGCGGCUAAUACCGCAUGACGCCGCGGCGUGACAGCCGGGGCCAAAGGCGAAAGCCGCCCGCCGAGGGGCCUGCGUCCGAUUAGCUGGUUGGCGGGGUAGCGGCCCACCAAGGCGUCGAUCGGUAGCUGGUCUGAGAGGGUGAUCAGCCACACCGGGAAUGAGACACGGCCCGGACUCCUACGGGAAGCAGCAGUGGGGAAUAUUGGACAAUGGGCGCAAGCCUGAUCCAGCAAUGCCGCGUGGGUGAAGAAGGUCUUCGGAUUGUAAAGCCCUUUCGGCGGGGACGAUGGUGACGGUACCCGCAGAAGAAGCCCCGGCUAACUUCGUG